UUUUUUCAAAACUUUUACAAAAUUAAUACACAAACGCAAAGUUAUCAGCUUUGAAGCGGCAGGUGGCAGACAAACAGACGGAAGACAUUGAGUAUAAAUAGUUGACUUUGCAAUUUGGCAACAGGUUGAUCUCCUCCAAUGUUUACAUUUCAUAUUAUUUCGUUGCAAAGGGCAAAAACUACAUUCAUUAUCUAAUGAAACGAUAGAUAGAAGAUACCAUAAAUUAUUUAAAGACCAAGUGCAGACAUUGGUGAGUACACCUCCGUUCUGCCUACACGUGAAAUACAAUUUAGAUUGCAGGAACCUGUUGAAGUCGCGUCUCCUUCGGACGCCAUCUUGCGGGGAGCGCGCGCGCGCGUCCGUCGCCAUUGGUGAUCACGUGACACCGCGCAUGCUGCGUGCGCCUACUGGCAAUCCUGAAAAGAUGCAUUUUACUUAUGUUCAUAAAUGCUUGAUUGAUAAGAAUCAAUUGAAAAAACUUGAAAUUAUAAGACACAUUAAAUUUUUAAACAAAUCGUUAUUUUAUUAGGAUAUAAGUGUGAAAAUAUUGUAUCUUCUAUAUAAUUAUAUGACCACAUAAUUAUCUAUA
This is a long non-coding RNA of Pieris rapae (cabbage white), 589 nucleotides long. RefSeq lists it as uncharacterized. Lineage: Eukaryota; Metazoa; Arthropoda; Insecta; Lepidoptera; Pieridae. The record is from RefSeq and is a predicted model, not a curated record. The transcript has 2 exons.